This 767-nucleotide long non-coding RNA is filed under the name Trifolium pratense (red clover). RNAcentral's name for it is "long non-coding RNA (TPRA_LNC009100)". The record is from RNAcentral. Lineage: Eukaryota; Viridiplantae; Streptophyta; Magnoliopsida; Fabales; Fabaceae.
GUUCAUCUCUAGGUUUUGGGUGUUGAUUCUUUCAUCUUGUAAUCACUUACCAUUGAAAUCUCUUGGUCACGGGAAGAGAUUUGGGAAAUGGGUAGAAUUAGGGUUGAAGUCUAAUUCUUGCAACUCCUUUGUAGUGAAUCUCGUUGUAAUCAAGCUUUUCUUUGAUAGUGGAACGGAGAGUGGCUCUCUCCCCCAGAGUAGGUCGGUUUUGACUGAACUGGGUAAACAAUUGCUUCGUGUUCUUUACGGUUUUAUUACUUAUCUUUUGUUCGUGAUUAUUAUUGCUAUUUCCACAUUUUGAUUGCUUAUUCGAUUUGCUCCACACAUCAAGAUUAUUGAUGUGAUUAUUAAAGAAUUCACAACAACAACUCAAUGAAACGAGUAAAAUUCAAAUAAAUAUUAUCAUCCUUACCAAUUUUUGGAGCCUUCCCGUUAAUUUCUAGGUCCUUUUGAUCAUCCAAUGCCUCUGUUAAAUAAAUUGUAAAUGAGAUAUGACAAAAAUUAAAUAGUUUAUGCGUCUAAUAUGUAUAUAAACAAUUCUGAUAUAAAUGUAUUUUAUAUUUUAAUCUUCUUUACUUUUCAUAAAUAUCUUUUAUCAUUACUUAUAAUAGUUGAUUUUUUUGAAUGGUCUUAUAAGAGGUUGUAUUUGGAUCAAAGAGGUUGAUAAAAAUAAUAUGAAAAGUAACUUAAGUUAGAUGUUUUUUUUGCAAGAGUACCUCCUUUUUUGACAAAAUAACGAAAGAGUACCUCUUAGUAUAAUGCUUAUU